AGGUUUCAAGAGGUCAAACACUCUCUCUCUCGCUUGAAUCUCAACACUGUCUGCGAGGAAGCUCAAUGCCCCAACAUUGGUGACUGUUGGAAUGGGGGCGGCGACGGUAUUGCAACCGCUACUAUCAUGCUUCUCGGGGAUACAUGUACUCGUGGUUGCAGAUUUUGUGCCGUUAAAACCAGCAGAAAUCCUGCACCCCCUGAUCCUAUGGAGCCUCAAAACACUGCUCAGG
RNAcentral lists this unclassified non-coding RNA (232 nucleotides) under Hevea brasiliensis (rubber tree). Lineage: Eukaryota; Viridiplantae; Streptophyta; Magnoliopsida; Malpighiales; Euphorbiaceae. The record is from RNAcentral.